AUGAUGGGUUGUUUCCCAAUGUGCUAAGAUGCAGCCGCCUCUGGGGUGGAUCCAUGGUGGCCAUUAUUUGCUAGUGACAGCCCGUGGACCUUUCUUGCCCUCCAGGCCUUCCAUUCUCCUGUUAAAGAAGCACUCCCCAGGCUCCCUCUGCCUGUGUGACUGGCCAGCAGGAGGUGGUGUUAACUUUCUAGCCACUUCUCACACUCUGUGAGGCUGCGGAAUAACGUCCAUGUUUCGCUCCAGUUCAUCCCGUCCUCUCGUUGGACAGGGGAGAGAAAUGGCUGCAGAGGAGCCACUACAGGGGCUGGUGACCUUCGAGGAGGUUGCUGUGUAUUUCACCAGUGAAGAGUGGGCUCUGCUAGACCCCACUCAGCCCUCUACAGGGAUGUCAUGCAGGAGAACUAUGAGAAUGUGACCUCGCUGGGGUUUCCAGUUUCCAAACCUGAUGUGAUCUCCCAGCUGGAACAAGGGGAAGAGCCAUGGGUCUCAGACCUCCAGGGUUCAGA
Long non-coding RNA from Gopherus flavomarginatus (Mexican gopher tortoise), 506 nucleotides. RefSeq lists it as uncharacterized. The record is from RefSeq and is a predicted model, not a curated record. Lineage: Eukaryota; Metazoa; Chordata; Testudines; Testudinidae. The transcript has 4 exons.